AAGAGGGAUCCUGGAAGCAUCUGACUAUUCCACCAUCUUGGCCCCGCCUCACCCCAGAGCAACCUUAGAAAUUGUUUCAGAGAUGGCAAGACUGUUGUCAGCCUGGGUCCCUGGAUCACUGCAUUGAGGAGGCCCACCUCAGUGACAGACCUUUCACCUGUCCAUUGGUGAUUGAUUGAUCGUGGUCCAGCAUGCAGAAGCGAGUGAGUGGUGAAAAGCAGCAGAGCUGAUGGAUUGUGAAGAUGUGUUUGAAGGCUGUCACACUGUCUACUUCAGGGAGGGCUGUUGUGAAGAACCAUGCAUCUCAGCUGAACUCUGUGGAUAGCCUCUUGCUUGCCCAUGGUGCCAUGCUAGCAUCACCUGCCAGAGAAAACCAGUGUUCUGAGUGAGUGUCCAGAUGAAGUGCCCUUGGCAGGAUUGAUGAACAGGAAGUGGUAAACUUUGACCUGGUCCUGGGAGAAUGAGAAGAUACUACAAGGACUGAGGAAAGGGUCCUGAACACAACUCCAGAAGUUAAUUUUAUAGCCUUUUAGGAAACGCAGUGUGGGCAGAAGAAGGAAGCUGGCUGUCUAGGCUUCGGCAAUAUUGAUGUUAGUUGACUCAGAGAGUCAAAGAGACAGAACGUCCCUUGAACAUUAAGGAGUCAAAAAGAGAUCCCUAAGCACUCAAAAAAGUCAUAGAAAAAGGGAAGUUUAAAAAAAGAAAGAAAAGAAAAUGUAUUAAACAUCUACCCUCAGCUUGGCACUUACCUUUUUUUUUUUUAAUCAAUUUUGCCACCGUCUGUCCUCUCCCUCAUCUCCUAGGGAAGAGGUUGCAUACCUCUAGGGGGAGUGUCUUAGUUAUCUAGUGCUGCUUUAACCAAGAGAAAUUUAUUUUCUCAGUCUAGUGGCUAGAAGUCCAAAUUCAGGGCAACAGCUCCAGGAGAAGGCUUUCUGUCUGUCAGCUCGGAAGAAAGGUCCUUGUCAUCAAUCUUCCUUUGGACUAGGAGCUUCUUGCCGCAGGAAGCUCAGAUCCAAAGGACACGGUCUGCCCCCGGCGCUACUUUCUUGGUGAUGUGAGGCCCCCUUUCUCUCUGCUUGCUUCUCCUUUUUAAAACUCAAGAGAGAUUGGUUCAAAACAUAAUCCAAUCUUGUAGAUUGAGUUUGGCCUCAUUAACAUAACUGUCUCCUAUCCCACCUCAUUAACAUCAUAGAGGUAGGAUUUACAACUCAUAGGAAAAACACAUCAGAUGACAAAAUGGUGGACAAUCACACAAUACUGGGAAUCAUGGCUUAGCCAAAUUGAUACUUGUAUUUUGGGGGGAUACAAUUCAAUCCAUGACAGGGAGCCAUUCUUGAGAAGCAUGGAAAGUCCCUUCUUGGGGAUUUCCCCCUUUCGCUGGAAAGUUUGCAGACCAUCUCCCAUUCCCCCAUGAUGAUCCAUUGCUCCUUGCUUCUGUAUUCUUAGAUGCUUAGGCCUCUGUUUGUCUCUGACUUCCAGCUUCUGUAAAGGGGCUCUCACCCUCCCACCCCCCUUUAAUGUCCAUAUUGGACAAAGCUAUUUGGCUUGACCAGCCCCUUUUUCAGCUGCAAGCCUGGCCUCCGGCCCAAUGAUAAGCACCCACCCUUCUUGUUUCUAUUUCAGAUAUUGAGCUGCUCACAGCUCUGUGGGUCUCCUGCAGAUUAACUGGGCUAGGCAUUCUGUCCCAGGCCCCAGGCUGCAGGUUGGGUUCAAGUCUGCUCCGCAUGUCUUGUUCUGGAGCCUAGGCCAAAGGGUCAGCAGCUACCUAGAGUAUGUUCUUCUCAUGGUGGAUCAGCAGAGCACAAGGGAGCACCCCAGCCACGCAAGCACAUUUCAGGCCUCUGUUGACAUCACGUGUCCAGCCAGAAGUUGCGAGGCAGGUGUCUUCCACUCUCCAUGAAGCCAUUAGUGGACUGUGAAUGAUUUUAUUACAAGAGGAUGACAAACAUGGACCAGUAAUUCAGUGUCUCAGAUUUUCAAACAACACUUUAGUUCAGAAGUAACUGUUGUGAGUCUUCUGAACCUCUUUCGAAGAGCAGAACCUUCAAAGAAUAGGGAGCGGAGGGCUGUUGUGAAGAACCAUGCAUCUCAGCUGAACUCUGUGGAUAGCCUCUUGCUUGCCCAUGGUGCCAUGCUAGCAUCACCUGCCAGAGAAAACCAGUGUUCUGAGUGAGUGUCCAGAUGAAGUGCCCUUGGCAGGAUUGAUGAACAGGAAGUGGUAAACUUUGACCUGGUCCUGGGAGAAUGAGAAGAUACUACAAGGACCGAGGAAAGGGUCCUGAACACAACUCCAGAAGUUAAUUUUAUAUUGAGCUGCUCACAGCUCUGUGGGUCUCCUGCAGAUUAACUGGGCUAGGCAUUCUGUCCCAGGCCCCAGGCUGCAGGUUGGGUUCAAGUCUGCUCCGCAUGUCUUGUUCUGGAGCCUAGGCCAAAGGGUCAGCAGCUACCUAGAGCACGUUCUUCUCAUGGUGGAUCAGCAGAGCACAAGGGAGCACCCCAGCCACGCAAGCACAUUUCAGGCCUCUGUUGACAUCACGUGUCCAGCCAGAAGUUGCGAGGCAGGUGUCUUCCACUCUCCAUGAAGCCGUUAGUGGACUGUGAAUGAUUUUAUUACAAGAGGAUGACAAACAUGGACCAGUAAUUCAGUGUCUCAGAUUUUCAAACAACACUUUAGUUCAGAAGUAACUGUUGUGAGUCUUCUGAACCUCUUUCGAAGAGCAGAACCUUCAAAGAAUAGGGAGUGGAUUCCUAAAGGUGACAACCUGUAUAAAAUACAGCCAAGCUUUGGUUGACAAAAGCCUGAUGAAUGAAAACCCUUGAUGAAAUGGAAUUAUUUGGAGGUGAUCAUGUGUAGGGAAGAAUGAGACAAGUCACAAGGUAACCAGGACAACUCAGGCAGUUGUCCUACCACUUGUUUGCCAGCUUGUACUGUGGUGACUUUCAUGUUGCUGUGAUGCUGGAAGCUAUGCUACCACCAAUAUUUCUAAUACCAGCAGGGUCGCCCAUGGUGGACAGAUUUCAGUGGAGCUUCCAGACUAAGACAGACUGUUAAGAAGGACAUGAUGACUUCUUAAAAAAAAACUGGCCAAUGAAAACCUUCUGCAUAGCAGCAGAACAUUGUCUGAUACAGUACUAGAAGACAAGCCCCUCAUUUUGGAAGGCACUCAAAAGACGACUGGGGCGGAGCUGCCUCCAUAAUGCAGAGUAGACCUUGAUGACUAUGACGGAGUCAAGCUUUCAGGAUCUUCGUACGCUGAUGUGGCAAGACUCAAAAUGAGAAGAAACAACGGCAAACAUCCAUUAAUAAUCGGAAUGUGGAAAAUACAUAGUAUAAAUCUAGGAAAACUGGAAGCCUUCAACAAUGAAAUAGAACACGUAAAGACUGAUAUUCUAGGCAUUAGUGAGCAUGAAAUGGACUUGUAUUGGUCAUUUUGAAUCAGACAAUCAUGUAGUCUACUCUGCUGGAAAUGACAAACUGAAGAGGAGUGGUGUCACGUUCAUUGUCAAAAAGAACUGUUCAAGGCCUGUCCUGAAGUACGGUGCUGUCAGUGAUAGGAUAAUACCCAUACUCUUACAAGGAAGGCCAGUUCAUAUGACUAUGAUGCCAAUUUAUACACCAACCACUAAUGUCCUGUAGAGUCGCUAUGAGUCAGAGUUGACUCGAUGGCAGCUGGUUUUUUUUUUUUUUUUUUUUCUUUAUAAUCAUUAAUAUCACAUGCAAAUAAAAUUUUGCUGGAGAAAAUUCCAAACUGUCUGCAGCAGUAUACGGACAGGGAACUGCCAGGAACUCAACAGAAUUAACAACAGGAUCUAAUUCAUAGAGUUUUUGUGAGAAUUAAAUGAUUUAAUACUAUAAGGCGCUUAGCACAGCAAUACCGACCUAUAUAUUUACAUAUCAAUUCCAAACUCAAGGGGACAGGGACAAUGGCAAGUCAGAUUGUCAAGAGCAGGGAGGCCAAGGGAUGGGAAACAUCUCUCAGGAAUGGGGUCCUGGGAGCCAUUAGAAACAGGCAGCAUCACAGCCCAGCUCAACACUGGUUGCUGGAGAGCAGAGGCCCCUUCCCUACCAAAGACCUCGGGUCGCACCGCCGACAUCACAUGGGCACUGCUAUCUCGAUUCUAGGGAUGGGAUUAAAAACAAAAACAGACAAACCCGUUGGCACUGAGUCAAUUCCAACUCAUAGCAACUGUAUAGGACAGAGUAGAGCUACUCCAUAGGGUUUCCAAGGAGUGCCUGGUGGAUUUGAACUGCCGACCUUCUGGGUAAAAGCUGUAGCUUUUAACCACUGAGCUACCGUGACUCCAGGGAUGGGAUGAGCAUGUGCAUAAACCAGUUCCUACCAAUUGGAUUUAGACUCAUGGUGACCUGAUGUGUGUCAGGGUAGAAUUAUGCUCCAUGGAUUCUUCACAGGCUGACUUUUUAGAACUAGAUCGCCUGGACUUUUUCUGAGGUGCCUCAGGGUAGACUCCAACCAUCAACCUUUUGGGUAGUAGCCCAGCACAUUAUCCAUUUGCCCCGCCAGGGACUCUAAAAAAAAAUGUGCAUAAAAACUAAACUCGUUGCCCUUGAGUCGAUUUCAACUCAUAGCGACCCUUUAAGACAGAGUAGAGCUCCCCACAGAGCUUCCAAGGAGCACCUGGUAAGUUCGAACUACCAACCUUCUGGUUAGCGGCAUGAAGCUCUUCUCCACUGUGCCACCAGGGUUUCCAGUAUGUGCAUAGGGAAGGAAAAACAAGGUUAGCUUCUUGUCCCUCUCAGCACCAUCACAUCCAGAGAGCUCUUCCCCUCAGCAGCAGCAGCAGCAGCAGCAGCACCUCUUCAGCCACACAAGAAAAUUGAAUUGUUUUCUUGAAAUAUUUUCUGGGAGGGGGGAAAAAUCCCUUUUGGAGGGAAGAAGUAGAAAGGUCUUGGGUAUUAAAGCAUCCAUUCCCAGACAAUAUCCUGGGGGCUGCUGGGACCAACAAAGAGGCCAUGAAUGUGAGACCAAGAGAGGCUGGUCUGUUUGAGCAGCUACAGAGAGGAGUGCACGCAUAUCACUAAUGGAAAACGAGAGGAAGGAGGAAGGAGGUGCCCAGUGAUGCCUUGGAUGAAUGUCUUAUUGACUAAGGUUGACAGGAUGGCUUGGUGCCCUGGUAGAAUCACAGGGAGUUUACAAACACACAGCCUUGUUUUCCUGGGGUCUGGACAUGGACUUUAUAUAUAUAUAUUUUUUUAUAAUUUUUAUUUUGCUCUAAGUGAAAGUUUAAAAAUCCAGUCAGUCUCUCACACAUAAACUUAUAUACACCUUACUACACACUCCCACUUACUCUCCCCCCAAUGAGUUAGCCUGCUCCCUCCUUCCAGUCUCUCCUUUCGUGAUCGUUUUGCCAGUUUCUAACCCCCUGUACCCUCCCAUCUUCCCUCCAGACAGGAGAUGCCAACAUAGUCUCAAGUGUCCACUUGAUGCAAGUGGCACACUUCUUAUCAGCAUCUCUCUCCAACCCAUUGUCCAGUCCAACCCAUGUCUGCUGAGAUGGCUUCAAAAAUGGUUCCUGUCCUGGGCCAUCAGAAGGUUUGGGGACCAUGACAGCCAGGAUUCUUCUAGUCUUAGUCAGACCAUUAAGUCUGGUCUUUUUCUGAGAAUUUGGGGUCUGCAUCCCACUGUUCUCCUGCUCCCUCAGGGAUUCUCUGUUGUGCUCCCUGUCAGGGGAGUCAUCGGUUGUGGUUAGGCACCAUCUAGUUCUUCUGGUCUCAGGAUGAUGUAGUCUCUAGUUCAUGUGGCCCUUUCUGUCUCUUGGGCUCAUAAUUACCUUGUGACCUUGGUGUUCUUCAUUCUCCUUUGAUCCAGGUGGGUUGAGACCAAUUAAUGCAUCUUAGAUGGCUGCUUGCUAGCGUUUAAGACCCCAGACGCCACACUUCAAAGUGGAAGACAGAAUGUUUUCUUAAUAGAAUUUAUUUUGCCAAUUGACUUAGAUGUCCCCCGAAGCCAUAGUCCCCAAACCCCCGGCCCUGCUCCGCUGACCUUCACAGUAUUCAGUUUAUUCAGGAAACUUUUUUGCUUUUGGUCCAGUCCAGUUGUGCUGACCUCCCCUGUAUUGAGUGCUUUUCUUCCCUUCACCUAAAGUAGUUCUCAUCUACUAACUAAUCAGGAAAUAAUCCUCUCCCACCCUCCCUCCUUCCCCCCUCUCAUAACCACCAAAGAAUGUGUUCUUUUCAGUUUAUACUAUUUCUUAAAAUCUUAUAAUAGUGGUCGUAUACAAUAUUUGUCCUUUUGCAACUGACUAAUUUCACUCAGCAUAAUGCCUUCCAGGUUCCUCCAUGUUAUGAAAUGUUUCACAGAUUCAUCAUUGUUUUAUCAAUGCGUAGUAUUCCAUUGUGUGAAUAUACCAUAAUUUAUCCAUUCAUCCUUUGAUGGACACCUUGGUUGCUUCCAGCUUUUUGCUAUUGUAAUAAAUAGUGCUGUAGUAAACAUGGGUGUGCAUAUAUCUGUUCGUGUAAAGGCUCUUAUUUCUCUAGGAUAUAUUCCGAGGAGUGGGAUUUCUGGGUCGUAUGGUAGUUGUAUUUCUAGCUUUUUAAGGAAAUUCCAGAUCGAUUUCCAAAGUGGUUGUACCAUAUUACAUUCCCACUAGCAGUGUGUAAGUGUUCCAGUCUCUCCACAGCCUCUCCAACAUUUAUUAUUUUGUGUUUUUUGGAUUAAUGCCAGCCUUGUUAGAGUGAGAUGGAAUCUCAUCGUAGUUUGAAUUUGCAUUUCUCUAAUGGCUAAUGAUCGAGAGCAUUUUCUCAUGUAUCUGUUAGCCACCUGAAUGUCUUUAGUGAAGUGCAUGUUCAUAUCCUUUGCCCAAUUUUUAAUUGGGUCGUUUGUCUUUUUGUGGUUGAGUUUUGACAGAAUCAUAUCGAUUUUAGAGAUCAGGCGCUGGUCGGAGAUGUCAUAGCUGAAAAUUUUUUCCCAGUGUGUAGGUGGUCUUUUUACUCUUUUGGUGAAGUCUUUGGAUGAGCAUAGGUGUUUGAUUUUUAGGAGCUCCCAGUUAUCUGGUUUCUCUAAUAUUUUAGAUUGAGUCCUGCCUCAUUAACAUAAUAACUUCCGCUAAUCCCACUUCAUUAACAUCAUAGAGUUAGGAUUUACAACACAAAGGAAAAUCACAUCAAAUGACAAAACCCUGAACAAUCACACAAUACUGGGAAGCACUGCCUAGCCAAGUUGACACAUUUUUUGGAGGGACACAAUUCAGUCCAUAACACAUGCACCAGACACAGUGUAAGGCACUGGGUGAAUAGGGUCCAGUCCUUGCUUUCAAGGAGCAUCCAGUCAAGUGGGAAAGACAGACGGUAAAAAAUUGUUUAUAAUUACCUACAAUUAUGCAGUUAACAGUUAUCUAACAGUGUAUGAGUGUGGGUAGGCUAGCAGCUAUAACAAGCAACCCCCAAUUUUCAGUGUGUUAACAUCGUAACUCGCACAAAGUGCAGUGUGCCUGUUCUAGGUUGAGUGGUUCCUUCCAAGUAGUGAUGCAGGGAUCCAGGGUCACUCUACCUUGUGAUGUCUUCAACUCGUGGCCUCCAGGUUCACCAGGAAAAGGGAAGUUAGUGUGGGCAAUGUGUACUGGGCACUUAGCCACCUCAGCAUAGAAGUGAUAGACGUGACCUCUGCUUGUAUUUCAUUAACCAGGUCUAGUCACACAGCAAUUUUAGAUGUGGGGUAGCUGCUUCCCAGCCACAACUACACUAUACAGGAGGAAUGUGUAUCUUUGGAAAACAGUUAGUCACCUCUGCCAGAGGCAGGUACUAUGUUACAGAUGGCAAAAUUGAGGAACCUACCCAAAGUCACACAGCCAGUAUGUGGAGACACCAGAUGUGAACCCAGCUUCGUUUGAUCCAAAGCUCAUGCUCUAGCUGCUCUAUUACACACUCUGCUGUGACCACUGCUCUAGACCACAGUGUGGUUCUCAUGCGCAUGACCUGCCUGUGGAUCCCAUUCUCUCUGGUUUGGACCGGUCUGCAAAACUGGUGUUGCUGCUGCCUUAGCUUUCUGGCCUAAUUUUCCUUGUCUGUGACCUGAGGCCUUGCUAACCAAACCAACCCACUGCGACUGAGUCGACUUUGAUUCAUGGCAACCCUGUAGGAUGGAGUAGAAGUCUCCCGUAGGGUUUCCAAGACUGUAAGUCUUUAUGGAAUUAGACUGCCACAUCUUUCUCCCGUGGAGCGGCUGGUGGGUUCAAACCACCGACAUUUUGGUUAGCAGCCGAGUGCUUUAACCACUGACCUGCCAGGGCUCCUUGAGGCCUUGCUAGUUUACUGUAAUUCUCUCCUUCCUCAAAUGAAUUCAUAGUACUGGAGAAAGUUUCCAUCUUUGUGGCAUGGAAAACAAAGGAACAGGAUUCAGUCUUCCACAGCUGCUGUCUGGAUGGGAUAGCGGCAAUGUGGAUAUACAACUUCACACAUCUUUGGUUAUCAAAUGGUUACAUUAUUUUGUAGUUCCACCUCCCACAGGCUAGUAAAUGGGCAGUGUUAAAUAAUACACAGGGCUGUAGGAGCUUGGAUAUAGAAGACCACAUUGGGUUUGAGUACAUGACCAAUUAAUUUUGUGAAAAGGAACCUCCAUACUGGGUUACAAACAUAAGCAACAGUACAAGUAUGUAUAACAGGCUCUUAACCUUUGAUUUGGGAAUGAAUGAAAGCAAACAGCCUGAUGCAGAUGUAUGAGAGAAAUGUCAACCCCAUCUGAAACACCAUGAUUACACUGAAUUCCAAUUACUAUGCCCGUUAAAAAAUUACCUCAAAUCUUCACAGCUAAUACAACCAUUUAUUAUGCUCACGGAUCCUGUGGGUCAGGAAUUUGAGCAGCGCACAGCAGGGAUGUCUUGUAUGUGAGAGCUGAGAUCAUCUGAAGGCUUGUUCCUUCAUAAGUCUGAUGGUUGAUAAUGGCUGUUGGCUGAGGGCCUCAGUUCCUCUUCAUGUGGACCUCUCCAUGUAGUCUUUCUAUGUAGGCUAGUAUGGGCUUCCUCACAGCAUGGUGGCUGAGCUCCAAGGGUAAGCAUCUUGAUAGAGAGAGAGAGGACUAGGCAAAAGCUGUAUUGUCCUUUUUGAUGUAGCCUCUGAAGUCAUGUAACAUUGCUUCUGCCACAUUGUUUAUUGAAGCAUUCACAAAGUCUUGUCCAGGUUCGCACAGAGGGGAAAUAGACCCUGCCUCUUGACACGGAGCAGCAAAAUUCUGGAAGAAUGUGUGAGACUGGAGAUAGUGCUGCGGCCAAUUUUGGAAAAUAUAAUCUGCCACACUUUGCUUUUAUUCUGAUCCUUAAAUCUGACUUAAAUAUUAGCUAUCAUCUACUUGGUGCCCAUGCGCCAGGCCCCAUAUAGUCAUGAAAUGUCAUCCUGACCCCAACUGUGCAAAGUAAAUCCUGUUGCCCCUUUUAUAGUUUAGGAAAGUGAGGCCCAGAGAAGUUAAAGCAACUUACCCAAGGACACAGAGCUAGCAAAUGGUAGAGUCAAGCUGCAAAACUAAGCCUGGCCGACUCCAAAUCCCAUACUCUCUCCCACAGUUCCUAUAUGAUUUCCAGUGGGAUGACUCAUUCCUUUAACGAAAGUCAAGUUUGUCAGGGGAAGGCUGAACUGGUGGUGACAGGGUAAAGGGAAGUUCAGACGCUUUGAAUUAUGGUAACUUCUAUGAAAGUUCCUAGUCGUUUCUACCUUCUAGAAUCGACACAUCCUUAAAGCCCAUCGAGUCAAGGCAAUGGAAUUUAAACCCUCCCUGGUUUCCAAAUACCUGCAGUACAUUUCCUUUGAUUCUCCAGCAUGUAUAAAGUAUUCCUCAAAGACCACAGGGGAAGUAAAAUGCUUGUGGACAAUGAAAUCCGCCCUCUUUCAGGUGGGCUGACGAGAAACCCUUGGAGACUCCCCCAGAGUGAUCAUCAGGCUGUACUCUUAAGAGUUAUGUCCUUGACUGAUGUGAGUUAUACCUCAACCAAAAAUCAAUACGGCUGCAAAGGAAUGAAAGUUAUGCCAGGACAACAGGCAUAAAUGAGUUCUGUCCUGGGCAAAUAGGGCUGGAUGGACGUUAUAAUCUGUUGCUGUUGAGUCGGUUCCGAUUCGCAGUGACCCCGUAGGACAGAGUAGAACUGCCCCGUAGUACUUCCGAGGCUGCAGUCUUUACAGAAGCAGACUGCCACAUCCUUCUCCUGUGGAGCGGCUGGUGGGUUCAAACCACCAACCUUUCAGUUAGCAGCCGAGCACUUAACCACUGCACCGCCAGGGCUCCUUG
Molecule: long non-coding RNA, 10232 nt
Organism: Loxodonta africana (African savanna elephant)
Lineage: Eukaryota; Metazoa; Chordata; Mammalia; Proboscidea; Elephantidae
Exons: 10
Source: RefSeq, a predicted model, not a curated record